RNAcentral lists this long non-coding RNA (714 nucleotides) under Anolis carolinensis (green anole). RNAcentral describes it as "lncRNA (ENSACAG00000035185.1)". Lineage: Eukaryota; Metazoa; Chordata; Lepidosauria; Squamata; Anolidae. The record is from RNAcentral.
CUGUUUACUCCCAGAAAUGUUUCCUGAGAUGAGAUAACCCAAAGGCAUUUUCCAAAUUCCCCUGGAAUACAGGUAUAAGUUGACCCUUUUUUGUAAAGGGCAACUAAUUGCUUCAAAUCUAUGAAACUUGGUCCAGCUUGCUUGUUAGAUGUAAUCUAAACUGAUCCCUGACAAGGAAAAUUCUAGAAACUCUGGUACUCGUUUCUCCAAGUGUUGUAUUGCAAUAUGUUAAUAUCCCCAAAUAAAAGAUAACCAUAAGUUAAUAAAUAUAAAAUCCAGCUGCCUCUUGUUGGCAGCGUUGUGAUAAACUGUAGAUAGACUAAAGGGCCCGUAUUGGGGUCAGGGAAGCUGGUUUGAACAAAGAGUGGCUGAUUGCAAACUUGUCAGAUUUAAUUUGGUAGGUGGAGAUGCUGUUAAGAGAAGCCUAUGAUAUAUGUGGCAAAUUGCAUACACCUGGAAUGUUGAGCCCUGAAAUGUAUUUUCUAACAUUAGAACUGAAUGGAACUAACUGAAUGGAACUUACAUUCCCACAUAACUUUCUUUUACACUUUCAGGAGUUGUGUGGUUUUGUCAUUGCUAUUUAUUGGAGUGAGCCUGGGAAAAUCACAAGAAGGGAAAGAUUCCUGCAGAUCAAGAAUUCUGAUGAUGAUCACUUCUGGAAGAAAGAGGCAGUCCUUAAGAUAUCCUGGAACAAAGGCAUUGGGGCUUGAAUAG